CAGAACUGCACAUUGAUAACAUCUCAUGGCAGGCCAGGCCGCCUGCACCUGUUUCCGAUCACUCAGCCGGUCAGCGGACUGCCCACAAGACGGCAUUAUGAGGUCUACACGACUGAGCGGAGAGAUGUGGCAGGCUGCUGGGACAUGUGAAGUUAAGAGCUCUUCAGAUCCUGUUGAAGACAAAGAUUUCUGUUCAAACCAGCUGAGAACGGAAAAUACUAAAAUAGGUUCCCAGCAACCCUUUUAUGGAUUACUAUGAGAAGUGAGUGCAAUAUUAGCGGCAUUCAUGUCCAAAGAGAACUCUUAAUGCAGACGGAGACUGUGUAUUUGGAGCUCUCCUCUUACAGAAAGCGGGACACAUGGGGCUAUGUUCCAGUAAGUCUACAGUUGCAGUGGCCCCCUACGCUGGGGUUCAAAGCAGUGAAUCAGGAGACCAAGCUGACAGCACCAUGCAAACUUCGAUUUGGGACGAUCAAACCUCUGAGGCCCAGGCUGCCAAAAACAAGACUGACCCUGGGGUGUGGAGCAGGAGAGCCAACCCACCCGCCAAAGGCUACCUGGAGCUAGGAGGGAAAGGUGAAGUUGAGCUGCAGACAUCCAGGGAGGCUGAGGAAGAGGAGGACACUGACGGAGAUGAAGUGGUGGAGCUGCUGAAUGUCUCUGACAGUGAAGGGAGCCUGAGGAGUCAGUAUCUGGACUGAAUUUUGUUAAUAUGCAGAAUAAUAAGACCAAAGCAAUGCAGCCGUAUAUUCUGUGUGGUUUGAAAAGGAAGAUUGAGUCACUUAAGAAAAUAUAUUCAGAAGAUACAUCUUUGGACUCUGAUUCAUCAUAAUCUUCACAGUGGAUCCACAAGAUGUCAGAUGUGGUUUAAAAUAUAUUUCGGACAAUCUUAAAACUCUUUGAGUAUUGUUUAUAUUUACAGUAUGUUUCUUGUACAAAACUCAGAUCAUUUGAACACAUUUCUGUUUCUGUCAAGCCGUCCUUAAAAAAAUAUCAUUUAAAUAAUUAAUAGAAAAUGUAAUUGAAUAAUUUGUUGUGAUUUUGUAUUUGUUUAAAUAACAAGAAUUAAUUUCUCCUGAAUCUUAUAUAAGAGCUAUUUCCUAGAUUUGUGUAAAGCAGCUUUAGUGGCAGAUAAUAAUGAUGGGAAAAAAAAGUUCCACCUAAGUCAGCUCAUCUGUCACACAGUGGAGUUUCUAGUGCUACGCAUUAUUAUUCAAGGGCUUGUGGGAGAUACGGCCAGGUUAUAAUUACUCAUACGAGUAUGGUUUGUUUAGAUGCUUAAGCUAGAUUACUUCUGGAAACAGAUAAACCUUUUGUUUGAAUAGUAACAGAAUGCAUGAAUCACAAUCAGUUGGUGAUUCAAUCAUGUUGGUUUCCUUUUCUGCAACGGGAGAACAUGGUUAGAUAUUUUUCUUCGUCAGGGGAAACCCACUGAUGGCAUUUAUGAACCUAAACCUGCAUAUUCUCUUUGGGAUUUCUGUC
This is a long non-coding RNA of Cyprinus carpio carpio, 1482 nucleotides long. NCBI's taxonomy places the organism in Eukaryota, Metazoa, Chordata, Actinopteri, Cypriniformes, Cyprinidae. The record is from Ensembl.